Molecule: unclassified non-coding RNA, 349 nt
Filed under: soil metagenome
Description: partial contains 5.8S ribosomal RNA, internal transcribed spacer 2, and large subunit ribosomal RNA
Rfam family: 5.8S ribosomal RNA (bases 1-120)
Source: RNAcentral
GAUGAAGAACGCAGCGAAAUGCGAUAAGUAAUGUGAAUUGCAGAAUUCAGUGAAUCAUCGAAUCUUUGAACGCACAUUGCGCCCGCCAGUAUUCUGGCGGGCAUGCCUGUCCGAGCGUCAUUUCAACCCUCGCGCCCAUCUGGGCUGCGGUGCUGGGGACCGGCCUGCCCCCCCGGGGCGCGCCGCCCCCCAAAUUCAGUGGCGGUCUCGCUGCAGCCUCCCUUGCGUAGUAGCACACCUCGCACCGGAGCGCAGCGCGGCCACGCCGUAAAACCCCCGACCCCCAUGAGUUUGACCUCGGAUCUGGUAGGAAUACCCGCUGAACUUAAGCAUAUCAAUAAGCGGAGGA